UUGAGGCCAUAUCACGUUGAAACACCCGUUCUCGUACGAUCACAAAAGUUAAACAACAUCGAGCCUGGUCAAUACUUAGAUGGGUGACCACUUAGGAAUAACAGGUACUGUAAG
RNAcentral lists this ribosomal RNA (114 nucleotides) under Acanthosepion pharaonis. The record is from RNAcentral. Lineage: Eukaryota; Metazoa; Mollusca; Cephalopoda; Sepiida; Sepiidae.